Long non-coding RNA from Corvus hawaiiensis (hawaiian crow), 2183 nucleotides. RefSeq lists it as uncharacterized. NCBI's taxonomy places the organism in Eukaryota, Metazoa, Chordata, Aves, Passeriformes, Corvidae. The transcript is spliced from 2 exons. The record is from RefSeq and is a predicted model, not a curated record.
UAGUGCAAGAAAUCUCCCCAAAUGAAAAUUUUUCGGGACUUUCUGUUAGGGAAUUGAGUGUAUUGCAAAAGCCCUGGUCAGGAAGGACCCACUAUCGAAUGGAAAAAAUCAAAACCCCAAAAAUGAAAAAUGUCCCUUUCAGAAACUCUAACUAUGGAAACACCAUUAAUUACUUUACAGCAAAGUAAUGGUCCCCAGCAUCUAGAAAGUUACUGCUUCGCCUGCCUCACUUUAAUCUGCAAGUUGCUUUCCAGCAAAUGCACACAGACCUGCGGAAAGCUUGCGGCUCACAACUGCCCUCAGUAUCCGAAGCGGAGCCCCUUCGCUGGAAUCACGUCCCAUCGCCGCGGGCCUGGGGACAGGAAAUUGGCUAUGGGACUGCGCGGCCUCGCACAGGGAGCUCCCUGCAUCUGUGCGCGGCUGCUUUGGGGGGUGUUAAGCAACGGUGUACCCGCAAUUUAGGACUGAAGGGCGUCCGGCGGGGGGAGCGGGACAUGCACGACUCCCAUUCCGAGCUACGUAGUGCCAUGUACCAUGCCCAUGUCACUGCAGUGAAGGACGGUCAGAAAACUUCCUAGUCGGAAGGAAAUGGCUCUUCAAUGAAGUUAUCGAACGUUAAUGUUGAAUUCUGACGGUACACGUCCUGGAGGACCUGCGGAGCAGGAGAGAGCCUGGACCAUGCCUUCUCCCAGGAAGGGGUUAACUCUCGCCGACGGGACUGCUUGGGCAUGGCUCUAACGCGACUGUAACACCUUCCCUGCCCCCCCCUGAAGGCAGAACCCGAAUGUAUGGGAGCCACGGGGAAGCGGCAUGUUUAACUGACACGAGUGCUAGGUACUUCUGUAGUACCUCUUCCAGAUAGACAAUAUGUGGGCACAAGCAAAGUUUGAAUGACACUGAAAUAACAUUAUUUUCAUGAGGAAAGCAUAGAAGGGACACUUUUCUCAAACUGGUAACAGCAUAAUCUAGACCUAAGUCUCAUCACCCUUUAUAUUAAUAAAUUUACAUACUCCUUUAAUAUAAAGAACAAUUAUGAGACUAAUAUUACAGACUUGUUGCAUAUUCCUUUGUAAAACAAAAUUUCAAUAGUUUGGUUACAUGGGUUCCCAACUUCGUUCUGGUUUCAGUGCCCUUUGGUUUGAGAACGAGUUGCAUAAGACCACGAAGCAGUACAGUAGCUGGGGUCAGUUAGAACUCCCCUACACCUGAAUUUCCAAGAACAGAAGUCCUGUUACUUUUAAUAGAUAAGUAUAUACAAGUUAUUAAAUAAAAGGGGGGAAAAAAGGAAAAAAAAAAAAAAAAAAAGAAUGCUUUAUACAAUGCUGGAGCCACUCCAAAAGUUCAGGGAUCUGAUCUGGCCAAGGCAAUUUGGCCCAGCCUCUGUUUGUAUUUAUGCUGCUUUUAUGGAGCUACUGCUAACUUGUUCUACUGUAAGAUUUAUUCUGACACACUAGAUAUCAAAGUGAUGGACUAGUCAAAGACAAGUCAUGUAACUGUAGAAUUAAAAAGCUGACCCCAGUUACACUGAAGUGAAAAUAAUUGCUUCACUGGUAUCACUCAGCUCCUAGAAUACCUUAAUAAGGCCAGAAGAAUGAAUGUCAGAGAUAUUCUCUAGAAGGUGGGUUUUACACUGUAUAUAAUGCUAUUGCAGUCUUGUAAUACAUAUCUAUACAUUGCAUUAUUUAGUAGGCAGCAAUAUUUUACAGUCAUUUCAAAGGGUGAAGUUUGUUGUUGUUAGCCAGAAUAAAAGUGUUUUAUUAUACAAAUGAGAAAGUAGCUGGGCUUGGGACUGGGCAGUUGCUUCCAACAUGCCAGUUACUCAUGGUCACAGAAGAGAUAAUCUGUGAUUUUAGCAUAUGGAAGGAGUCCUACGCUAGCUGUUUAGCAGAAGCAAGUUAGAAGUACUAAUAAAAAUACUAAAUGAAGACUAAAUCCAAACAUCAACAGCUUGCCAUCUGCAGUUCUGAUGAAUCAGCAGUGAUGAACAGGUUAGAUCAGAAAGAAACAACACUAAAGAUGAAUAAAACCUUUUUCCAAAAUGGACAUUAUGAUACAUUUAUUUUAAAAUAAAUUAAUAAUCCCUGAAAUUAGAAACAAUGUUAAUGUUGUUUUAAAAUAGCUGUUCUGUUACCUGACCAGAAAGGGUAUUCUCUAUAAAUAAAACAUAGCAAUACAAAAUUUGA